Molecule: unclassified non-coding RNA, 276 nt
Filed under: Hevea brasiliensis (rubber tree)
Lineage: Eukaryota; Viridiplantae; Streptophyta; Magnoliopsida; Malpighiales; Euphorbiaceae
Source: RNAcentral
AAAUGAGCCGCCAAUUUAUUCCGGAUUAAGGUUAUCUUUGAAAAUUGAUCUCAGACACAGCGAUUGAUUCUUGGGUUUUUAAGCAUUAGGCUUAGUUUUAUUGCAACAGAAGGCCUUUUUAACGAGCACUUUAGCUGUCAGCUGAAUAUUUGUGUAACUUGGAAUGAAAUAUUUAGAUGUAAUUUGAUUGCAACCUGCGCAACAUCAGAUCAAAAGCUUCAGUUAUAUUAAUCCGAUGAUAUCGCUUUUUUCUUUUCUGGGUUAGCUAGACUUGAA